UAGGGAAUCUUCCGCAAUGGACGCAAGUCUGACGGAGCAACGCCGCGUGAGUGAAGAAGGAUUUCGGUUCGUAAAACUCUGUUGUUAGAGAAGAACAGCGCAUAGAGUAACUGUUAUGCGUGUGACGGUAUCUAACCAGAAAGCCACGGCUAACUACGUGCCAGCAGCCGCGGUAAUACGUAGGUGGCAAGCGUUGUCCGGAUUUAUUGGGCGUAAAGCGAGCGCAGGCGGUCAAUUAAGUCUGAUGUGAAAGCACCCGGCUCAACCGGGGAGGGUCAUUGGAAACUGGUUGACUUGAGUGCAGAAGAGGAGAGUGGAAUUCCAUGUGUAGCGGUGAAAUGCGUAGAUAUAUGGAGGAACACCAGUGGCGAAGGCGACUCUCUGGUCUGUAACUGACGCUGAGGCUCGAAAGCGUGGGUAGCAAACAGG
This 429-nucleotide ribosomal RNA is filed under the name Bacteroidota bacterium. Its description in RNAcentral is "Bacteroidetes bacterium partial 16S ribosomal RNA". It matches the Rfam family "Bacterial small subunit ribosomal RNA", at positions 355 to 776 of the family's 1533-position model. The record is from RNAcentral. Lineage: Bacteria; Pseudomonadati; Bacteroidota.